Non-coding RNA from Potamilus streckersoni, 79 nucleotides. The record is from the annotation of a GenBank genome assembly. Lineage: Eukaryota; Metazoa; Mollusca; Bivalvia; Unionida; Unionidae.
UGACUGCUCUGGUGGCCUACUUGUUCGAGUGUCUGCCUCAGAUGCAGGAGAUCAUGGGUUCGAUCCCCGGUCUUGUCAA